CCUGUUUAUCAAAAACAUAGCCUUAAGUAGCUUUUAAGGUAAUCCCUGCCCAGUGAGAAUUUUUAACGGCCGCAGUACUCUGACUGUGCUAAGGUAGCAUAAUCAUUUGGCUUUUAAUUGAAGUCUGGAAUGAACGGGUCUAUGGAAACAAGCUGUCUUACUUCUUUUUGAUAAAAUUUUAUUAAUGGGUGAAAAUGCCCAUGAGCAGAAAAAAGACGAGAAGACCCUAGUGAAUUUUUAUAAAAAGUAAUUUUAUCACCACUGUUUUUGUUGGGGCGACAUAGAAGCAAUAAAUUAACCUUCUAAAAGAUUAAUGUACAAGCCGAAGUUUUAAGUGAGAAUAAAUUACCAUAGGGAUAACAGCACAAUUAAUAAAUAGUUUGUGACCUCGAUGUUGGACUAGGAAGCAUUUUGGUUUAGACGUCAAAAUGUUAUGUUCUGUUCGAACAAUAAUAUCCUACAUGAUCUGAGUUCAAACCGGAGA
This 484-nucleotide ribosomal RNA is filed under the name Bathyhedyle boucheti. Its description in RNAcentral is "partial 16S ribosomal RNA". It matches the Rfam family "Bacterial large subunit ribosomal RNA", at positions 1799 to 2622 of the family's 2925-position model. The record is from RNAcentral. Lineage: Eukaryota; Metazoa; Mollusca; Gastropoda; Acochlidiacea; Bathyhedylidae.